This 540-nucleotide ribosomal RNA is filed under the name uncultured bacterium. RNAcentral describes it as "bacterial SSU rRNA". It matches the Rfam family "Bacterial small subunit ribosomal RNA", at positions 355 to 896 of the family's 1533-position model. The record is from RNAcentral.
UGAGGAAUAUUGGUCAAUGGACGCAAGUCUGAACCAGCCAAGUAGCGUGCAGGAUGACGGCCCUAUGGGUUGUAAACUGCUUUUAUAUGGGGAUAAAGUGGGGAACGUGUUCCCUUUUGCAGGUACCAUAUGAAUAAGGACCGGCUAAUUCCGUGCCAGCAGCCGCGGUAAUACGGAAGGUUCGGGCGUUAUCCGGAUUUAUUGGGUUUAAAGGGAGCGUAGGCCGUUUGGUAAGCGUGUUGUGAAAUGUAGGAGCUCAACUUCUAGAUUGCAGCGCGAACUGUCAGACUUGAGUGCGCACAACGUAGGCGGAAUUCAUGGUGUAGCGGUGAAAUGCUUAGAUAUCAUGAAGAACUCCGAUUGCGAAGGCAGCUUACGGGAGCGCAACUGACGCUGAAGCUCGAAGGUGCGGGUAUCGAACAGGAUUAGAUACCCUGGUAGUCCGCACAGUAAACGAUGGAUGCCCGCUGUUAGCACCUAGUGUUAGCGGCUAAGCGAAAGCAUUAAGCAUCCCACCUGGGGAGUACGCCGGCAACGGUG